GGGAGGUAGUGACAAUAAAUAACAAUACAGGGUUCUUUAGGAUCUUGUAAUUGGAAUGAGUACAAUUUAAAUCUCUUAACGAGGAACAAUUGGAGGGCAAGUCUGGUGCCAGCAGCCGCGGUAAUUCCAGCUCCAAUAGCGUAUAUUAAAGUUGUUGCAGUUAAAAAGCUCGUAGUUGAACUUCGGGAUCAAUGGAUUGGUCAUGCCGUUGGUAUGUACUGGUCAUAUUGGUUCUCACCUUCUAAGGAACCAUAAUGUCAUUCAUUUGAUGUUUUGGGGAAUUAGGACUGUUACCUUGAAAAAAUUAGAGUGUUUAAAGCAGGCUAACGCUUGAAUACAUUAGCAUGGAAUAAUGAAAUAGGACGUUCGAUCCUAUUUUGUUGGUUUCUAGGAUUGACGUAAUGAUUAAUAGGGAUAGUUGGG
Molecule: ribosomal RNA, 423 nt
Filed under: uncultured Glomeraceae
Lineage: Eukaryota; Fungi; Glomeromycota; Glomeromycetes; Glomerales; Glomeraceae
Description: SSU rRNA
Rfam family: Eukaryotic small subunit ribosomal RNA
Source: RNAcentral